Molecule: unclassified non-coding RNA, 2958 nt
Filed under: Leishmania donovani
Lineage: Eukaryota; Euglenozoa; Kinetoplastea; Trypanosomatida; Trypanosomatidae
Description: gene:LdHU3.36.0340(CDS-product:SET_domain_protein _putative)
Source: RNAcentral
CCGAGACAAAUUUCCUUCAAGGUUUUUUCUGCCUUCUCUUGGUGUUCUCACUGACACACGCUUGCGCCCCACACCCGCAUUGACCAGCGCACAUGCUGCAACGGUUUUUGUGAUUGUUGUGGACACGCCACCGUUUUUCCGCUCCUCCUCUUGUGCCGCGUUCUCGCUAUCCUCUCUGCCUCGAGAGUCGGCGGCGCGCACGCUGACUCCGCUUUGUUUGUUUUCUUGCCCUCGGCCCCUGCCCCCACCACCUCCUCCGGUCUCCCCUCCUCGCCUGGCGUCAGCACAUCGUCACGGAGAAAGGCCUCAUUCAUCACACACACACACACACAAUUCCGUAAUUGAGAAGAAAACGAACCACCGCGCGGGGGUAGAGUCGACCGUUUCAGAUUGAAGGAGUGGCCUUGCUCCCCUCCCUCUCCCCAAAACACACACAUACACACACAGAUAGAUUCCGUAGAGCCGCCCCAUACAUCCGGGAAACUCGCCUCUCGUCUUUCCUAGCGAGCACCUUCUUUUGUUACGGUUUGCGUUCUAUCCUUCAUCAUCUUGCACGUCCCAGCCCGGCACCACAUUCCGCACCUCCUUUCGGUGACUGUCCGUGGCGUGCAUAUCGGCCAAAGGAACCGAUACAGAAACACGCAGACGUGCUCUGGCGGAGACGAUAUCAGGUGCAAGCACCAGGCAGUCGUGUGCCCUUUUUUGUUUUCUGUGAUCUCUCUUUUUCUUCUAUCGUUUAUAGCAUAGACUUGCCGACGAAGCAGCCCCACGCGCCACUACGACGUCACAGUAGGUCCGAGGUACAUCGGUCGCAGACCAUGCCCAUCAGCCAGCGCGUUGCCGUCGUGCAUGAUGCCGCCACCACGCCUGAGCAGUUGGAUGCAUUUCAGCGAGCGUGCCCCAAGUCGUGUGAUUUCUUCCCUGCGAAGGAUGCUGCUCAGCUGCAGUGCGUUGUGCAGCACAUCCACGCUGCGAGUCCGUCUGUAUACGAAGUCGUGGUCAACCUCUGCACUGACGGGUCGGGCGGCGCCAACGGUGGCGUCACGCCCGCACUCGCCACUCUCUUCUUUCACCACGCGUCGCUGUCCUACACGGGAUGCCGUGCUGCGACGCUCAACCAUCCGUUCGACGUGCUUCUCAUGAUGCUCUUCUACGCAGAUGUGCCGCUGCCGCCGUUUGCACUUGUCGAUUCUGUGGAGGCGGCGAGGCGCGCCGCGCACAGGCUGAAAGCCCCGGUACAAAUCCGCAAUACAUGCGGGCUGCUUGGACUCUACCGCGACUGCUGCACGGUUCAGGAUGCCGUGGAGGCCACCCUGAUACGCGCCCUUCACGAGCAUGGAAAGAUCGUCGCGUGGGAGGUAAACGAGUCAAAGGAGCGCGCGGUGCGCGUGCUCGUUGCUGGCGGCUCCGUGAAGGGGGCGGCGGCCGCCAUUCCUGUUGAGUCAUGCGCAACGGCGCCGCUGUGGGCUGCCCGUGCGGAGGAAGCCGCGCAGCGUUUUGGAUCGGCGGUCAGCCGUUACGUCUUGUACGACUGUGGCGUCGCGUCUUUAACGCUCAACACGUUGAAAGAGAACCCCGGCAAGUGGUGUUUCGAAGAUCUUGUGCUGAAUCCAGCCCUACCUCACCUCGUGCUGCAGGAGGCCGUGCCAAACUUGCUGGCGUCGGCGCCGACGGCGGCAGAGCUGGUCGCCUCGCUGCUGGCAGAGGCGCGAAAGUUCCACCCCGCUCCCACCUUUGAAAUCAAACUGCACGAGGACUCCCGCAAAGGGUACCACCUGUGUGCCACCAAAGCUCUUCGCAAGGGUGACGUGGUGUUCGAGGAUGAGUGCCGCAGCUUUGCGGUGGUGACUCGCCCGCACGUGGAGCGGCACUGGGAUGACCCGCUCAAGAAGACCUUCACCGAGUACGCGUGGCCGCUGGACUCCGAGGGCCACGUGUACGCCAUCUGGGAGGAGGACCCGCAGCGUUGGCGGCCCAUCAAUCAUUCGUGCGACCCGAACUGCAUCUUUGCCGCACCGUACUCCCUUAACGUCAUCGCGGCGCGCGAUAUUGCGGCCGGCGAGGACUUGAGCAUGGACUACGCCACCUUUUGCGACGGAACGAUGAAGCCGUUCGAGUGCCUGUGCGGCGCGGCGUGCUGCCGUGGUGUUAUCAGCGCCGACGCCUGCUCCCUCGCCAAGUACGGUGAGCACUCGUGGCUGCGCAAGGUGCCAUCGGCAGUGAAGCCUCUUCUUCCUUGAAUACAUGAGUGAGACGCUCCGCGGCGCGUGCGAGUGGCCUGCACGUGCGAGCUCUCGAGGAGACUCUGUACUGGUAAGGUGCGGUAUGCCGGUGUGUGCGGCGGUCAGCUCAGCGGUCGGGGGCACAGGAGCUGUGAGGACGGCGAGAGGGGGGGCACAAGAGGUAGCGAAGAGGGGGAGGGGGGCUAUUAAUAUCCUCUGGUGUACGGAGCGCUCGCACAAAAGCCGCCGGCACAUGUGCUGUUUGUUUUCACUUUGGCAUUUUCCUGCUCUGUUGGCCAGUGGGCUCCGUCUUUUUUCUGGGUGCUUGCUUGAGUGUCCUCUGUGCAGUCCCAGCCCCUGCUGUGUAACUCCCCGGGCUCCUGUCUUUCGCACAUGCCCGCCGGUGCCAUCCUGUCGUCCCCGUUGCAGUGCAGCGCGUGGACUUAACUUUCCACAACCCCAAGUGCUCCACACCAAAAAAGAGAUUUCAAAGGAAAGCGUGAGUAUCUUGAAACGUGCGUGCGCCACACACGCGGGCAUAGCGUCGGCCAAACCAAUGCGGCUUCUCCUCCCCUUUUUUUUGCGAGUCCCCCUCCUUUUCGGCGCCUUGGUCCCCGCCCCACCCCCGCCCUCCACCGUCUCUGCCGACGUGUUCUCUCUUCUUCUGCAUAUCUUCCCUGACACGUUUCUUUCUGCGUACCCUCUGCGUUUUCUGGUAUUCUCUUUGUAUCAAAAG